AGAGUUGAUCCUGGCUCAGAAUGAACGCUAGCGGCGUGCUUAACACAUGCAAGUCGCACGAGAACACCUCAGCUUGCUGGGGUAAGUAAAGUGGCGCACGGGUGAGUAACGCGUGGGUAAUCUGCCCCUGAAUCUGGGAUAACGCUGCGAAAGCGGUGCUAAUACCGGAUGACAUCGAAUUGACUUCGGUUGAUUGGAUCAAAGGUAGCCACUCCAUGGAAGCUACUGUUUGGGGAUGAGCCCGCGUACCAUUAGCUUGUUGGUAGGGUAACGGCCUACCAAGGCGACGAUGGUUAGCUGGUCUGAGAGGAUGAUCAGCCACACUGGAACUGGAACACGGUCCAGACUCCUACGGGAGGCAGCAGUGAGGAAUUUUGCGCAAUGAGGGAAACCUUGACGCAGCAACGCCGCGUGAGUGAUGAAGGCUUUCGGGUCGUAAAGCUCUGUCAAGUGGGAAGAAAUCCCGGGAAGUGAACAGUUUUUCGGGUUGACGGUACCACUGAAGGAAGCACCGGCUAACUCCGUGCCAGCAGCCGCGGUAAUACGGAGGGUGCGAGCGUUAUUCGGAAUUACUGGGCGUAAAGGGCGCGCAGGCGGUCAUGUAAGUCAGAUGUGAAAGCCCGGGGCUUAACCCUGGAAGUGCAUUUGAAACUGUGUGACUUGAGUAUGGGAGAGGGAAGCGGAAUUCCUGGUGUAGCGGUGAAAUGCGUAGAUAUCAGGAGGAACACCCGUGGCGAAGGCGGCUUCCUGGACCAAUACUGACGCUGAGGCGCGAAGGCGUGGGGAGCAAACAGGAUUAGAUACCCUGGUAGUCCACGCAGUAAAC
Molecule: ribosomal RNA, 826 nt
Filed under: uncultured organism
Description: bacterial SSU rRNA
Rfam family: Bacterial small subunit ribosomal RNA
Source: RNAcentral